Molecule: ribosomal RNA, 718 nt
Filed under: uncultured bacterium
Lineage: Bacteria
Description: bacterial SSU rRNA
Rfam family: Bacterial small subunit ribosomal RNA
Source: RNAcentral
GGGAUAACUACUGGAAACGGUAGCUAAUACCGCACAACGUCGCAAGACCAAAGAGGGGGACCUUCGGGCCUCUUGCCAUCGGAUGUGCCCAGAUGGGAUUAGCUAGUAGGUGGGGUAACGGCUCACCUAGGCGACGAUCCCUAGCUGGUCUGAGAGGAUGACCAGCCACACUGGAACUGAGACACGGUCCAGACUCCUACGGGAGGCAGCAGUGGGGAAUAUUGCACAAUGGGCGCAAGCCUGAUGCAGCCAUGCCGCGUGUAUGAAGAAGGCCUUCGGGUUGUAAAGUACUUUCAGCGGGGAGGAAGGGAGUAAAGUUAAUACCUUUGCUCAUUGACGUUACCCGCAGAAGAAGCACCGGCUAACUCCGUGCCAGCAGCCGCGGUAAUACGGAGGGUGGAAGCGUUAAUCGGAAUUACUGGGCGUAAAGCGCACGCAGGCGGUUUGUUAAGUCAGAUGUGAAAUCCCCGGGCUCAACCUGGGAACUGCAUCUGAUACUGGCAAGCUUGAGUCUCGUAGAGGGGGGUAGAAUUCCAGGUGUAGCGGUGAAAUGCGUAGAGAUCUGGAGGAAUACCGGUGGCGAAGGCGGCCCCCUGGACGAAGACUGACGCUCAGGUGCGAAAGCGUGGGGAGCAAACAGGAUUAGAUACCCUGGUAGUCCACGCCGUAAACGAUGUCGACUUGGAGGUUGUGCCCUUGAGGCGUGGCUUCCGGAGCU